This 241-nucleotide long non-coding RNA is filed under the name Marmota monax (woodchuck). The record is from RNAcentral. Lineage: Eukaryota; Metazoa; Chordata; Mammalia; Rodentia; Sciuridae.
CUAUUGGACAUUUUCUCUGAUCAACUGCCCAGAGAUUGUGAAUUUCUAUCCUGCUCUGUCAUGGCCCACAUAGCACCUGAGAUGGGUGUGACCUGCCAAAAUGUCAAUCAACCUGCUGACUGCAAGACAUCAGGAAGCAAGACUCUGCCCUUGAAACCUUAUCCCUGCCUUUGAUGUACCCCCUUAAAUAAACCACUGGAGCCAUCUUUCUUUUGUCUAGAUCCAGCACCCAUGUGACUAG